UAUGCUUCUCCUAAAGACUAAGCCAUGCAUGCCUUCGAAUAAGAGGAAGCAAUUCUCUCUGAAUCUGCGAACGGCUCCGCAAACCAGUUGUAAACUAUAGCAAGCAAGCUUAGGGGGAUGGCCUUAACGGGCUGACCUCCUAGGCUACAUGGAUAACCGUGGUAAUUCUGAGGCUAAUACAUGACCGUAAACCUUGGGGCCCGGCUGCGGUUGGGUUCCUAAGGGGCGUGUGAUUGGGCCAGAGUUAUUGCCGGGAAAGGGUGCACGUCCAGACCGCUAUCAAAAGGGAUCGGGUCCUGCUUCUCCUUCGGGGGAGGCGGGGCCUGGCCUCGGCGGCUCUUGCUGUGUGCUUCUGACCUAUCAACUAGAUGGCAGCAUAAGGGACAUGCUUUGGUUACAACGGGUACAGAGGAUUAGGGUUCGAUCCUGGAGAGUGGGCCUGAGAGAUUGCUCAUACUUCUAAGGAAGGCAGCAGGCGCGCAACGUUCCCCUUGGGCAAUGCUCGAGGGCGUUAGGGGACAUAUGAAUGCCUGCCCAUUGGGUGGGCAAUUCAAAUGGGUCUGUUCUAAACAGGCUCUCGAGUAACAAUUAGAGGA
Molecule: ribosomal RNA, 596 nt
Filed under: uncultured Lamproderma sp.
Lineage: Eukaryota; Evosea; Eumycetozoa; Stemonitida
Description: bacterial SSU rRNA
Rfam family: Eukaryotic small subunit ribosomal RNA
Source: RNAcentral